RNAcentral lists this ribosomal RNA (253 nucleotides) under uncultured bacterium. RNAcentral describes it as "partial 16S ribosomal RNA". It matches the Rfam family "Bacterial small subunit ribosomal RNA", at positions 524 to 776 of the family's 1533-position model. The record is from RNAcentral.
UACGUAGGGGGCAAGCGUUGUCCGGAUUUAUUGGGCGUAAAGAGCGUGUAGGCGGCCAAGCAGGUCCGCUGUGAAAACUCGAGGCUCAACCUCGAGAGGUCGGUGGAAACCGUUUGGCUAGAGUCCGGAAGAGGAGAGUGGAAUUCCCGGUGUAGCGGUGAAAUGCGCAGAUAUCGGGAAGAACACCCGUGGCGAAGGCGGCUCUCUGGGACGGUACUGACGCUGAGACGCGAAAGCGUGGGGAGCAAACAGG